RNAcentral lists this ribosomal RNA (1310 nucleotides) under Xestospongia muta (giant barrel sponge). Its description in RNAcentral is "small subunit ribosomal RNA". It matches the Rfam family "Bacterial small subunit ribosomal RNA". Lineage: Eukaryota; Metazoa; Porifera; Demospongiae; Haplosclerida; Petrosiidae. The record is from RNAcentral.
AUUCCUUUGAUUUUGGGGAAAAUAUAAAGCGUGCGACACUUAUAAUACAUGCUAGGGAAACGAAACUCAAAAGAUUUUUUUUUGAUAAUAUGUCCCGCACAGGUGAGUAAUGUUUUGGAACUAAUUAAUUGGUCUGUUAGAAAAUAGUGGUGUUUAUAUAUACAUAGCCAGUUAUUAGGCCAGAAUCGUAUUAGGUUGAAGGGGGUAUUAAAAGUCCACCUUACCAAGGAUGCGUAGCCGAGAGGCCACACUUCCACUGAAACAAGGGGAAGACUCAAAUAGAGGCAGCAGUAGAGAAUAUUGUGCAAUGUAUGAAAGUAUGACCCAGAGAUGUCGCAUAAAUAGACCGUCUAAUAUACGUGCCAGCAGACGCGGUUAUCCGUAAGGUCUAAGUUUUUAUUAGGAAAAAGGCGUAAAGAGUGUAUAGGCGAAUUUUGUUAAGGUAUGGGUUUUAACGAGGUAAUUGGAACUUUUAUGUAGCGGUAGAAUGCUUUUAUAUAAAAUGGAACACCAGAGGCAAAGGCGAAUUACUAGUUAUAACUGACGUUGGUACACGAAAGUGGGGGUAGCAAACAGGAUUAGAUACCCUGGUAGUCUCCACUGUAAACUAUGAAUAUUAGACGGCGGGAUAACCGCCGUCGAGGAUAACUCAAGAAAAUUCCGCCUGAAGAGUACGGUCGCAAGAUUAAAAUUCAAAAAAUUUGGCGGUUCACUAAACCAAUUAGAGGAGCGUGUAGUUUAAUUCGAUAAUACGCGAUUAACCUUACCAAAACUUGAAUAUUUAAAAUUAGGGAUUUUUUUGUGUUUAAAGGAAUAUUAAUUACAGGUAUUGCAUGGCCGUCGUCAGUUCGUGUUGUGAAAGAAAUAGAACGAACUUAACCCUUAACUGUAAUUGUAAUAAAUAGUUUUUGGAUUUUACGGCAUUGGGGAUGACGUCAGGUCCUUAUGAUCCAAAUGUUUUGGGCUACAUAUGCGCUACAGUUUUUUACACAAAAAGCAAAAUUUAAUUUGGUUAAAAAGCUUUAAAGUAAAAGUUCGGAUUGUCUUAUGAAAUUGGGGCAGGAAGUUGGAUUUAAUAGUAAUCGGGAAGUAGAGCGUUCCGGUGAAUACGGCUCUAGUGUUCGUACAAAUCGCCCGUCACUUUUACCGAGUAAAAGACUCCCAAAGUGUCAACCCAGUAAUAUAAAAAGUAAGCGUUGUGUAGCAAAGUUAAGUGCAUAUUAUAUUGGGGGGGUUGGUAUUACGGAUAAUAUACGAGGUUGAAGAAGUCGUAACACAGCGAGGGUAUUGGAAAAUGUCCUCGGAUUAAU